This 274-nucleotide ribosomal RNA is filed under the name uncultured bacterium. Its description in RNAcentral is "partial 16S ribosomal RNA". It matches the Rfam family "Bacterial small subunit ribosomal RNA", at positions 523 to 796 of the family's 1533-position model. The record is from RNAcentral.
AUACGGAGGGUGCGAGCGUUAAUCGGAAUUACUGGGCGUAAAGCGUGCGUAGGCGGUUUGCUAAGUCAGAUGUGAAAGCCCCGGGCUUAACCUGGGAACUGCAUUUGAUACUGGCAGACUAGAGUAUGAUAGAGGGGGGUAGAAUUCCUGGUGUAGCGGUGAAAUGCGUAGAUAUCAGGAGGAAUACCAGUGGCGAAGGCGGCCCCCUGGAUCAAUACUGACGCUGAGGUACGAAAGCCUGGGGAGCGAACAGGAUUAGAAACCCUAGUAGUCC